UACAGGGGGUGCAAACGUUGCUCGGAAUCAUUGGGCGUAAAGCGCACGUAGGCGGUCUGUUAUGUCGGAUGUGAAAGCCCUUGGCUCAACUGAGGAAGUGCAUCCGAAACUGGCAGGCUAGAGUACGAAAGAGGAUCGCGGAAUUCCCGGUGUAGAGGUGAAAUUCGUAGAUAUCGGGAGGAACACCGGUGGCGAAGGCGGCGACCUGGGUCGAUACUGACGCUGAGGUGCGAAAGCGUGGGGAGCAAACAGG
Molecule: ribosomal RNA, 253 nt
Filed under: uncultured bacterium
Lineage: Bacteria
Description: partial 16S ribosomal RNA
Rfam family: Bacterial small subunit ribosomal RNA
Source: RNAcentral